UGGGAACUUAAUUAAAGCUUGCAUGGGAC
Molecule: non-coding RNA, 29 nt
Filed under: Rattus norvegicus (Norway rat)
Lineage: Eukaryota; Metazoa; Chordata; Mammalia; Rodentia; Muridae
Source: RNAcentral